AACGAACGCUGGCGGCAUGCCUAACACAUGCAAGUCGAACGAGACCUUCGGGUCUAUUGGCGCACGUGUGCGUAACGCGUGGGAACCUGCCCUUAGGUUCGGAAUAACUCCCCGAAAGGUGUGCUAAUACCGGAUAAUGUCUUCGGACCAAAGAUUUAUCGCCUUUGGAUGGGCCCGCGUUGGAUUAGCUAGUUGGUAGUGUAAAAGCCUACCAAGGAGACGAUCCAUAGCUGGUCUGAUAGGAUGAUCAGCCACACUGGGACUGAGACACGGCCCAGACUCGUACGGGAGGCAGCAGUGGGGAAUAUUGGACAAGGGGCGAAAGCCUGAUCAAGCAAUGCCGCGUGAGUGAUGAAGGCCGUAGGGUUGUAAAGCUCUUUUACCCGGGAUGAUAAUGACAGUACCGGGAGAAUAAGCUCCGGCUAACUCCGUG
RNAcentral lists this ribosomal RNA (433 nucleotides) under uncultured bacterium. Its description in RNAcentral is "partial 16S ribosomal RNA". It matches the Rfam family "Bacterial small subunit ribosomal RNA", at positions 29 to 507 of the family's 1533-position model. The record is from RNAcentral.